Molecule: ribosomal RNA, 1678 nt
Filed under: human gut metagenome
Description: bacterial LSU rRNA
Rfam family: Bacterial large subunit ribosomal RNA
Source: RNAcentral
AAUCGAACCCGGAGAUAGCUGGUUCUCCUCGAAAUAGCUUUAGGGCUAGCCUCAUGGAUCAUUGAUGGGGGUAGAGCACUGAAUGUGCGCGGGGGCCACAAAGCCUACCAAACGCUAUCAAACUUCGAAUACCAUACAAUGCAGACCAUGGGAGUCAGUCCGCGAGAGAUAAGUUCCGCGGGCAAAAGGGGAACACCCCAGAUCAACCGCUAAGGUCCCCAAGUUCACGUUAAGUGGAGAAGGAUGUGGAAUUGCACAGACAACCAGGAUGUUGGCUCAGAAGCAGCCACACAUUUAAAGAGUGCGUAAUAGCUCACUGGUCGAGUGAUUGUGCGCCGAAGAUGUCCGGGGCUAAACGUGACACCGAAGCGAUGGGUGCAUCUGAAGAAGAUGCGCGGUAGAGGAGCAAUGUGCAGAGGCAGAAGCCGUAUCGAGAGGCACGGUGGACACUGCACAAGAGAGAAUGCCGGUAUGAGUAGCGAGAGGCAUGCGAGAAACAUGCCCGUCGAAAGCCCAAGGUUUCCUGGGGAAGGUUCAUCCGCCCAGGGUAAGUCGGGGCCUAAGCCGAGGACGGAAGUCGUAGGCGAUGGACAGCAGGUGUAGAUUCCUGCACUACCGAUGGAAUGAAGCAGUGACACAGAAGGAUAACUCGAGCAGGGUGAUGGUCAACCCUGUGCAAGCAUCGAGGUUGGGUUGUAGUGAAGUACGCAAUCCUACAAGCUGAGGUGUGAUGCGGACCGAAAUUUCAGUAGGGAAGCGAGUGAGUUCACGCUGGCGAGAAAAGCUGCUAGUACAUCCAAAGGUACCCGUACCGGAAACCGACGCAGGUGGGCGAGGAGAGAAUCCUGAGACGAACGGGAGAACCCUUGUUAAGGAACUCGGCAAAAUGACCCCGUAACUUCGGGAUAAGGGGUGCCUGCGAGAGCAGGCCGCAGAGAAUAGUCACAAGCGACUGUUUAGCAAAAACACAGGUAUCUGCGAAAGCGAGAGCUGACGUAUAGGUGCUGACACCUGCCCGGUGCUGGAAGGUUAAGGGAACAUGUUAGAGCAAUCGAAGCAUCGAACCGAAGCCCCAGUAAACGGCGGCCGUAACUAUAACGGUCCUAAGGUAGCGAAAUUCCUUGUCGGGUAAGUUCCGACCCGCACGAAUGGUGUAACGACUUGUGAGCUGUCUCAACAGGGGGCCCGGUGAAAUUGAAGUAUGGGUGAAGAUGCCCAUUACCCGCGACUGGACGGAGAGACCCCGUAGAGCUUUACUGCAGCCUGAUAUUGAGUUUCGGUAACUGAUGCACAGGAUAGGUGGGAGUCUGAGAGACACGGGUUUCGGCUCGUGUGGAGACGCUGUUGGGAUACCACUCUUCGGUUACUGAAAUUCUAACAUAGCUCUGUGAAACCAGAGGAUGGACAGUGUCAGGUGGACAGUUUGACUGGGGCGGUCGCCUCCGAAAGAGUAACGGAGGCGCCCAAAGGUACCCUCAGAAUGGAUGGAAACCAUUCGAAGAGCGCAAAGGCAGAAGGGUGCCUGACUGCGAGAUUGACAAAUCGAGCAGAGACGAAAGUCGGGCUUAGUGAUCCGGCGGUAUUGAGUGGAAAAGCCGUCGCUUAACGGAUAAAAGCUACCUCGGGGAUAACAGGCUGAUCUCCCCCAAGAGUCCACAUCGACGGGGAGGUUUGGCAC